RNAcentral lists this ribosomal RNA (440 nucleotides) under uncultured bacterium. RNAcentral's name for it is "partial 16S ribosomal RNA". It matches the Rfam family "Bacterial small subunit ribosomal RNA", at positions 338 to 795 of the family's 1533-position model. The record is from RNAcentral.
CCUACGGGUGGCAGCAGUAGGGAAUAUUGCGCAAUGGGGGAAACCCUGAAGCAGCAACGCCGCGUGGAGGAUGAAGGUUUUCGGAUUGUAAACUCCUGUUGUUAGAGAAGAUAAUGACCUUAGCUAACGAAUAAGCACCGGCUAACUCCGUGCCAGCAGCCGCGGUAAUACGGAGGGUGCGAGCGUUACUCGGAAUCACUGGGCGUAAAGAGCGCGGAGGCGGGAUAGCAAGUCAGAGGUGAAAUCCUAUGGCUUAACCAUAGAACUGCAUUUGAAACUGUUAUUCUAGAGUAUGGGAGAGGUAGGUGGAAUUCUUGGUGUAGGAGUAAAAUCCGUAGAGAUCAAGAGGAAUACUCAUUGCGAAGGCGACCAGCUAGAACAUAACUGACGCUGAUGCGCGAAAGCGUGGGUAGCAAACAGGAUUAGAUACCCGAGUAGUC